Molecule: transfer RNA, 72 nt
Filed under: virus sp. ctQcs9
Description: tRNA-Met
Rfam family: tRNA
About the family: Transfer RNA (tRNA) molecules are approximately 80 nucleotides in length. Their secondary structure includes four short double-helical elements and three loops (D, anti-codon, and T loops).
Source: RNAcentral
UGCGCAGUAGAGCAGAGGUAGCUUAUCAGGCUCAUAACCUGAGGGUCGCAGGUUCGAAUCCUGCCUGCGCCA